This 115-nucleotide non-coding RNA is filed under the name Legionella lansingensis. RNAcentral's name for it is "TPP sequence". It matches the Rfam family "TPP riboswitch aptamer (THI element)". From Rfam's summary of the family: Vitamin B(1) in its active form thiamin pyrophosphate (TPP) is an essential coenzyme that is synthesised by coupling of pyrimidine and thiazole moieties in bacteria. The record is from Rfam by way of RNAcentral. Lineage: Bacteria; Pseudomonadati; Pseudomonadota; Gammaproteobacteria; Legionellales; Legionellaceae.
AAAGAGAUUUCGGGGUGUUCUUAUCUUCUUCAACAACAUCAUAGAUAAGGGCUGAGAAAAUACCCAUUGAACCUGUUCGGGUAAUGCCGUCGUAGGAAUCAUUGAAUGUUUAUUG